Thalassophryne amazonica is the source of this 101-nucleotide long non-coding RNA. RefSeq lists it as uncharacterized. NCBI's taxonomy places the organism in Eukaryota, Metazoa, Chordata, Actinopteri, Batrachoidiformes, Batrachoididae. The transcript has 3 exons. The record is from RefSeq and is a predicted model, not a curated record.
UCGUGAUAAGAUUCCAACAGGUUGUGAUGAGGUUCUGAUAGGUUGUGGUGCAAUUCCAACACAUUUUGAUAAGGUUUUGACAGGUUGUGAUGAGGUUCCGA